AACAGGAUUAGAUACCCUGGUAGUCCACGCCGUAAACGAUGUCGACUUGGAGGUUGUUCCCUUGAGGAGUGGCUUCCGGAGCUAACGCGUUAAGUCGACCGCCUGGGGAGUACGGCCGCAAGGUUAAAACUCAAAUGAAUUGACGGGGGCCCGCACAAGCGGUGGAGCAUGUGGUUUAAUUCGAUGCAACGCGAAGAACCUUACCUACUCUUGACAUCCAGAGAACUUAGCAGAGAUGCUUUGGUGCCUUCGGGAACUCUGAGACAGGUGCUGCAUGGCUGUCGUCAGCUCGUGUUGUGAAAUGUUGGGUUAAGUCCCGCAACGAGCGCAACCCUUAUCCUUUGUUGCCAGCGGUUCGGCCGGGAACUCAAAGGUGACUGCCGGUGAUAAACCGGAGGAAGGUGGGGAUGACGUCAAGUCAUCAUGGCCCUUACGAGUAGGGCUACACACGUGCUACAAUGGCGCAUACAAAGAGAAGCGACCUCGCGAGAGCAAGCGGACCUCAUAAAGUGCGUCGUAGUCCGGAUCGGAGUCUGCAACUCGACUCCGUGAAGUCGGAAUCGCUAGUAAUCGUAGAUCAGAAUGCUACGGUGAAUACGUUCCCGGGCCUUGUACACACCGCCCGUCACACCAUGGGAGUGGGUUGCAAAAGAAGUAGAUAGCUUAACCUUCGGGAGGGCGUUUACCACUUUGUGAUUCAUGACUGGGGUGAAGUCGUAACAAGGUAACC
RNAcentral lists this ribosomal RNA (730 nucleotides) under uncultured bacterium. Its description in RNAcentral is "bacterial SSU rRNA". It matches the Rfam family "Bacterial small subunit ribosomal RNA", at positions 771 to 1501 of the family's 1533-position model. The record is from RNAcentral.